UACGGGGGGGGCAAGCGUUGUUCGGAAUUACUGGGCGUAAAGGGCUCGUAGGUGGCCCCAUAAGUCAGACGUGAAAUCCCUCGGCUUAACCGGGGAACUGCGUCUGAGACUGCGGGGCUUGAAUCCGGGAGAGGGAUGCGGAAUUCCAGGUGUAGCGGUGAAAUGCGUAGAUAUCUGGAGGAACACCGGUGGCGAAGGCGGCAUCCUGGACCGGUAUUGACACUGAGGAGCGAAAGCCAGGGGAGCAAACGGG
This 253-nucleotide ribosomal RNA is filed under the name uncultured bacterium. RNAcentral's name for it is "partial 16S ribosomal RNA". It matches the Rfam family "Bacterial small subunit ribosomal RNA", at positions 524 to 776 of the family's 1533-position model. The record is from RNAcentral.